CGUGAGCUGGGUUUAGAACGUCGUGAGACAGUUCGGUCCCUAUCUUCCGUGGGUGUAGGAUACUUGAGAGGAGUUGCCCCUAGUACGAGAGGACCGGGGUGAACGAACCACUGGUGGACCAGUUGUCGUGCCAACGGCAGUGCUGGGUAGCUAUGUUCGGACAGGAUAACCGCUGAAGGCAUCUAAGCGGGAAGCCCCCCUCAAAACAAGGUAUCCCCGAGGGCCGUGGUAGACCACCACGUCGAUAGGCCAGAGAUGUAAGCGUGGUAACACGUUCAGUUGACUGGUACUAAUUGCUCGAUAGGCUUGAU
This 311-nucleotide ribosomal RNA is filed under the name Thalassiosira minuscula. RNAcentral describes it as "partial Bacterial large subunit ribosomal RNA". It matches the Rfam family "Bacterial large subunit ribosomal RNA", at positions 2599 to 2925 of the family's 2925-position model. Lineage: Eukaryota; Bacillariophyta; Thalassiosirophyceae; Thalassiosirales; Thalassiosiraceae. The record is from RNAcentral.